GGAAUUUUCCGCAAUGGGCGAAAGCCAGACGGAGCAACGCCGCGUGAGGGAUGAAGGCCUCUGGGCUGUAAACCUCUUUUAUCAAGGAAGAAGAUCUGGCGGUACUUGAUGAAUAAGCCACGGCUAAUUCCGUGCCAGCAGCCGCGGUAAUACGGGAGUGGCAAGCGUUAUCCGGAAUUAUUGGGCGUAAAGCGUCCGCAGGCGGCCCUUCAAGUCUGCUGUUAAAAAGUGGAGCUUAACUCCAUCAUGGCAGUGGAAACUGUUGGGCUUGAGUGUGGUAGGGGCAGAGGGAAUUCCCGGUGUAGCGGUGAAAUGCGUAGAUAUCGGGAAGAACACCAGUGGCGAAGGCGCUCUGCUGGGCCAUCACUGACGCUCAUGGACGAAAGCCAGGGGAGCGAAAGGGAUUAGAUACCCCUGUAGUC
Molecule: ribosomal RNA, 422 nt
Filed under: uncultured cyanobacterium
Lineage: Bacteria; Bacillati; Cyanobacteriota
Description: bacterial SSU rRNA
Rfam family: Bacterial small subunit ribosomal RNA
Source: RNAcentral